Long non-coding RNA from Bufo gargarizans (Asiatic toad), 451 nucleotides. RefSeq lists it as uncharacterized. The transcript has 4 exons. NCBI's taxonomy places the organism in Eukaryota, Metazoa, Chordata, Amphibia, Anura, Bufonidae. The record is from RefSeq and is a predicted model, not a curated record.
UAUGACAUCAUCACAGGUCCUGUGGGCAUAAAACAAACACACGGCAGCUCUACAGGACAAGGUUCUUACGACAUAGAAUCAUCUCCAUUUGAUAUUUUCUGAUUCUGAGAGUUUUCCUGACUGACACAUUUAGGAUGGAUAGGGACAGAGACAAGAUGGCUGAGAAGAUAUUAAAUCUCACCCUAGAGAUACUCUUCCAACUUACUGGAGAGGAUUACACAGUGGUGAAGAAGACCUCUAGUGAGCGCUGUCAGGCCCCUGUGUCUGAAGGAUGGGGAAGAACCCUGAGCCCAAUCACAGGGCCUCCACCUCACUCCAUUAUACAUAAGGAAAUCAAUGAAGCAGAAGAUCCUAGAACUCAUCCACAAGAUGAUUGAGCUGCUGACUGGAGAGGUUCCUAUAAGGUGUCAGGAUGUCGCUGUCUAUUUCUCCAUGGAGGAGUGGGAGUAUG